AGUGAACGCUGGCGGCGUGGAUUAGGCAUGCAAGUCGCGCGAACCGCAGGUAGCGGCAAACGGUAGGGUAAUAGAUGAACAAUCUGCCCUUAACGUCAGGCAUAGCUUCGUGAAAACGGAAGGUAAUUCCUGAUAAGGUCAGCGAAGCGCAUGCUUUGCGAUUAAAGGUGGGGCCGCAAGGCCUACCACUUAAGGAUGAGUUCGUCUCCUAUCAGCUAGUUGGUGAGGUAACGGCCCACCAACGGCUUAUGACGGGUAGCUGGUCUGAGAGGAUGGUCAGCCACACUGGGACUGAGACACUGCCCAGACUCCUACGGGAGGCUGCAGUCGAGAAUAUUUAGCAAUGGGCGAAGCCUGACUAUGCGACGCCG
This 371-nucleotide ribosomal RNA is filed under the name uncultured bacterium. Its description in RNAcentral is "bacterial SSU rRNA". It matches the Rfam family "Bacterial small subunit ribosomal RNA", at positions 29 to 399 of the family's 1533-position model. The record is from RNAcentral.